Molecule: long non-coding RNA, 407 nt
Organism: Momordica charantia (bitter melon)
Lineage: Eukaryota; Viridiplantae; Streptophyta; Magnoliopsida; Cucurbitales; Cucurbitaceae
Source: RefSeq, a predicted model, not a curated record
GAAGAAAAAGAAAAGAACAUAAAACGGAGGGGAAAGAAUCGAAGGAAAACAGGGGAGAGAGAGAGAUCAAAAUCUCACAAAGGGUUGAGGAAAUCUUGGGUUGGUGCUGCUUUUGGGAGCUUCACCGUGAAAAGUACCAAGAUUUGGUCAAGCGAAAUUUGGAACGGCGUACGAUCCGAUUUUAAGGAUUUGUUGUAUUUGAGUUUCGAAGAGAGAAUGAACCAGCUUCUGCCAUCCAGAGUCGUUGAGAAAUUGCAUAUCAUUUGUAGUUACAUUCUAAAUAGUGUAUUUAAGAAAGAAUUUAAAGUUAUGUUAAAAGUUAGUUUAAAAGUCUAAAAGGUUUCCGACUAUAGACUCUGCACCUAGUGGGGUCCAUGGUCGGCGCUGUCUGUUCUUGAACUAGUAGG